Molecule: long non-coding RNA, 789 nt
Filed under: Musa acuminata (dwarf banana)
Lineage: Eukaryota; Viridiplantae; Streptophyta; Magnoliopsida; Zingiberales; Musaceae
Description: long non-coding RNA (MACU_LNC006369)
Source: RNAcentral
GCCACUGUAGGUAUGACUUGCUAUAAAACGAAAGGCAUAUGCCGGACUACGUACACUGCUUGUGUGCAACAGUACUCUCUCACAAAUGGUUUGAUCCAUAGCAAUGUUCAGUGGAGCUGCAACCCAGAAAUAAUUUGAACAGAUAGUUCUCUGCACAAAUGGUGAGCCGGCCGAUUCAAUCGUUGGCAGUUUGUGAAAGCGUCGCUCCAGGAAUUGGAAGCCGUAGAUUGCAACAUGGUUGUGCUGGGCCGGCCUUCUUCUAUCCUCUUAUUUCUGUUCUUGUGUGUGUGAUUCAAGUCUGCAAUUGUGGCAGAAAGCAAACAUGAAACACGAUGCCGAGUGCAAACACAGCCAUCGUAUCAUCAUCUUGGCGUGCGUUGUGAUGCGAAUCCGAUGUUUGUUGCGAUGCCGGAGUAGCCGAUCCGCUGCCCAAGGGAGCGGGGAGGACGGCUUCCUUCUGGCUGUCUUAUGAUGAGCGAACAACUUCUACUUGCAAAAGCGAGCUUGUCGGACAAGAGUAGUUUCAUGGAGAUGGCGAACGACUGUGGGAUCAGCAAUGGGGCUCCCAUGUAUGCGCUGAUGCUGGGCAGGCAUUAGACACUCUCGAGGAACAUGGCUUGUCAAGGGAUGCCGCUUUGGCUCUUUCCUCCUUGUAAUGAGAAUUUUCAUGUGGGAAAGGGAACAGUGUCUGCCUCGUUCGCAGAUAGGACGACGAUUCCACGGUAAAAGUUGUGGACGUCGUAGCAAUGUGGAUUCCUCGAGUGCUGGCGGAUUUAAGUUGGAUUUACG